AGUGAACGCUGGCGGUAGGCCUAACACAUGCAAGUCGAGCGGCAGCACAGUAAGAGCUUGCUCUUACGGGUGGCGAGUGGCGGACGGGUGAGGAAUACAUCGGAAUCUACUUUUUCGUGGGGGAUAACGUAGGGAAACUUACGCUAAUACCGCAUACGACCUACGGGUGAAAGCAGGGGAUCUUCGGACCUUGCGCGAUUGAAUGAGCCGAUGUCGGAUUAGCUAGUUGGCGGGGUAAAGGCCCACCAAGGCGACGAUCCGUAGCUGGUCUGAGAGGAUGAUCAGCCACACUGGAACUGAGACACGGUCCAGACUCCUACGGGAGGCAGCAGUGGGGAAUAUUGGACAAUGGGCGCAAGCCUGAUCCAGCCAUACCGCGUGGGUGAAUAAGGCCUUCGGGUUGUAAAGCCCUUUUGUUGGGAAAGAAAAGCAGCAGGUUAAUACCCCGCUGUUCUGACGGUACCCAAAGAAUAAGCACCGGCUAACUUCGUG
This 492-nucleotide ribosomal RNA is filed under the name uncultured bacterium. Its description in RNAcentral is "partial 16S ribosomal RNA". It matches the Rfam family "Bacterial small subunit ribosomal RNA", at positions 29 to 507 of the family's 1533-position model. The record is from RNAcentral.